This 426-nucleotide ribosomal RNA is filed under the name Sarcofahrtiopsis cuneata. Its description in RNAcentral is "partial 16S ribosomal RNA". Lineage: Eukaryota; Metazoa; Arthropoda; Insecta; Diptera; Sarcophagidae. The record is from RNAcentral.
ACUGUGCAAAGGUAGCAUAAUCAUUAGUCUUUUAAUUGAAGGCUGGUAUGAAUGGUUGGACGAGAUAUUAACUGUUUCAUAAAAAUUUAUAUUAGAAUUUUAUUUUCUAGUCAAAAAGCUAAAAUAUAGUUAAAAGACGAGAAGACCCUAUAAAUCUUUAUAUUUAUGUUGUUAUAAUUUUAUAGAAUUUUUUUGUUGUAAUAAUUUAUAAUAUUUUAUUGGGGUGAUAUUAAAAUUUAAUUAACUUUUAAUUUUAAAAAAUCAUUAAUUUAUGAAUAAUUGAUCCGUUAUUAACGAUUAAAAAAAUAAGUUACUUUAGGGAUAACAGCGUAAUUUUUUUGGAGAGUUCAUAUCGAUAAAAAAGAUUGCGACCUCGAUGUUGGAUUAAGAUAUAAUUUUAGGUGUAGUCGCUUAAAUUUUAAGUCU